This 559-nucleotide ribosomal RNA is filed under the name uncultured bacterium. Its description in RNAcentral is "bacterial SSU rRNA". It matches the Rfam family "Bacterial small subunit ribosomal RNA", at positions 120 to 674 of the family's 1533-position model. The record is from RNAcentral.
GGGAAUCUGCCUGGUAGUGGGGGACAACGUUCGGAAACGAACGCUAAUACCGCAUACGCCCUACGGGGGAAAGGGGGGGAUCUUCGGACCUCUCGCUAUCAGAUGAGCCCGCGUCGGAUUAGCUAGUUGGUGGGGUAAAGGCCUACCAAGGCGACGAUCCGUAACUGGUCUGAGAGGAUGAUCAGUCACACUGGAACUGAGACACGGUCCAGACUCCUACGGGAGGCAGCAGUGGGGAAUAUUGGACAAUGGGGGAAACCCUGAUCCAGCCAUGCCGCGUGUGUGAAGAAGGCCUUAGGGUUGUAAAGCACUUUCAGUGGGGAGAAAGGUUGUUUACUUAAUACGUAAGCAAAUUGAUGUUACCCACAGAAGAAGCACCGGCUAACUCCGUGCCAGCAGCCGCGGUAAUACGGAGGGUGCAAGCGUUAAUCGGAAUUACUGGGCGUAAAGCGCACGUAGGCGGUUUGAUAAGCCAGCCGUGAAAGCCCCGGGCUCAACCUGGGAAUUGCGGUUGGAACUGUCAAGCUGGAGUACAGUAGAGGGGUGUGGAAUUUCAGGU